GACGAACGCUGGCGGCGUGCCUAACACAUGCAAGUCGAGCGGAGAAUGCAGAAAUGUUUACAUGGAAGCGUUCUUAGCGGCGGACGGGUGAGUAACACGUGGGUAACCUGCCUCAAAGUGGGGGAUAGCCUUCCGAAAGGAAGAUUAAUACCGCAUAAGCCUACAGUGCCGCAUGGCACAGCAGGAAAAGGAGCAAUCCGCUUUGAGAUGGACCCGCGGCGCAUUAGCUAGUUGGUGAGGUAACGGCUCACCAAGGCGACGAUGCGUAGCCGACCUGAGAGGGUGAUCGGCCACAUUGGAACUGAGACACGGUCCAGACUCCUACGGGAGGCAGCAGUGGGGAAUAUUGCACAAUGGGCGAAAGCCUGAUGCAGCAACGCCGCGUGAGUGAUGAAGGCCUUCGGGUCGUAAAGCUCUUUGAUCAGGGAUGAUAAUGACAGUACCUGAAAAACAAGCCACGGCUAACUACGUGCCAGCAGCCGCGGUAAUACGUAGGUGGCGAGCGUUGUCCGGAAUUACUGGGCGUAAAGGAUGCGUAGGUGGAUACUUAAGCGGGAUGUGAAAUCCCCGGGCUCAACCCGGGAACUGCAUUCCAAACUGGGUAUCUAGAGUGCAGGAGAGGAAAGCGGAAUUCCUAGUGUAGCGGUGAAAUGCGUAGAUAUUAGGAGAAACACCAGUGGCGAAGGCGGCUUUCUGGACUGUAACUGACACUGAGGCAUGAAAGCGUGGGUAGCAAACA
Molecule: ribosomal RNA, 739 nt
Filed under: uncultured Proteiniclasticum sp.
Lineage: Bacteria; Bacillati; Bacillota; Clostridia; Eubacteriales; Clostridiaceae
Description: bacterial SSU rRNA
Rfam family: Bacterial small subunit ribosomal RNA
Source: RNAcentral